CAAGUCGAGCGAACAGACGAGGAGCUUGCUCCUCUGACGUUAGCGGCGGACGGGUGAGUAACACGUGGAUAACCUACCUAUAAGACUGGGAUAACUUCGGGAAACCGGAGCUAAUACCGGAUAAUAUAUUGAACCGCAUGGUUCAAUAGUGAAAGACGGUUUUGCUGUCACUUAUAGAUGGAUCCGCGCCGCAUUAGCUAGUUGGUAAGGUAACGGCUUACCAAGGCAACGAUGCGUAGCCGACCUGAGAGGGUGAUCGGCCACACUGGAACUGAGACACGGUCCAGACUCCUACGGGAGGCAGCAGUAGGGAAUCUUCCGCAAUGGGCGAAAGCCUGACGGAGCAACGCCGCGUGAGUGAUGAAGGUCUUCGGAUCGUAAAACUCUGUUAUUAGGGAAGAACAAAUGUGUAAGUAACUAUGCACGUCUUGACGGUACCUAAUCAGAAAGCCACGGCUAACUACGUGCCAGCAGCCGCGGUAAUACGUAGGUGGCAAGCGUUAUCCGGAAUUAUUGGGCGUAAAGCGCGCGUAGGCGGUUUUUUAAGUCUGAUGUGAAAGCCCACGGCUCAACCGUGGAGGGUCAUUGGAAACUGGAAAACUUGAGUGCAGAAGAGGAAAGUGGAAUUCCAUGUGUAGCGGUGAAAUGCGCAGAGAUAUGGAGGAACACCAGUGGCGAAGGCGACUUUCUGGUCUGUAACUGACGCUGAUGUGCGAAAGCGUGGG
Molecule: ribosomal RNA, 725 nt
Filed under: uncultured Staphylococcus sp.
Lineage: Bacteria; Bacillati; Bacillota; Bacilli; Caryophanales; Staphylococcaceae
Description: bacterial SSU rRNA
Rfam family: Bacterial small subunit ribosomal RNA
Source: RNAcentral